Molecule: ribosomal RNA, 468 nt
Filed under: uncultured bacterium
Lineage: Bacteria
Description: partial 16S ribosomal RNA
Rfam family: Bacterial small subunit ribosomal RNA
Source: RNAcentral
GACGAGCGCUGGCGGCGUGCUUAACACAUGCAAGUCGAACGGAAAGGCCCUGCUUUUGUGGGGUGCUCGAGUGGCGAACGGGUGAGUAACACGUGAGUAACCUGCCCUUGACUUUGGGAUAACUUCAGGAAACUGGGGCUAAUAACGGAUAGGAGCUCCUGCUGCAUGGUGGGGGUUGGAAAGUUUCGGCGGUUGGGGAUGGACUCGCGGCUUAUCAGCUUGUUGGUGGGGUAGUGGCUUACCAAGGCUUUGACGGGUAGCCGGCCUGAGAGGGUGACCGGCCACAUUGGUACUGAGGUACGGCCCAGACUCCUACGGGAGGCAGCAGUGGGGAAUAUUGCACAAUGGGCGGAAGCCUGAUGCAGCAACGCCGCGUGCGGGAUAGCGGCCUUCGGGUUGUAAACCGCUUUCGCCUGUGACGAAGCGUGAGUGACGGUAAUGGGUAAAGAAGCACCGGCUAACUACGUG